RNAcentral lists this ribosomal RNA (131 nucleotides) under Nitrospirota bacterium. RNAcentral's name for it is "Nitrospirae bacterium (hydrothermal vent metagenome) partial 16S ribosomal RNA". It matches the Rfam family "Bacterial small subunit ribosomal RNA", at positions 1 to 112 of the family's 1533-position model. The record is from RNAcentral. Lineage: Bacteria; Pseudomonadati; Nitrospirota.
AGAGAUGAGAGUUUGAUCCUGGCUCAGAGCGAACGCUGGCGGCGUGCCUAACACAUGCAAGUCGGACGGGGUGCACGGGGCGGAGGAUUUCGGUCCGAAGCGCCGUGUACCCAGUGGCGGACGGGUGAGUA